Amblyraja radiata (thorny skate) is the source of this 175-nucleotide long non-coding RNA. RefSeq lists it as uncharacterized. The record is from RefSeq and is a predicted model, not a curated record. Lineage: Eukaryota; Metazoa; Chordata; Chondrichthyes; Rajiformes; Rajidae. The transcript is spliced from 3 exons.
AGGACGUAGCCAGCCUUCCUGAUAAGUUUGUUGAUGCUGUUGACGACCGCAGCCUUCGCCCGGCUGCCCCGACACACGGCAGCGAACAAGAUGGCACUGGCUACCACCGAAUGGUAGAACAUCUGCAGCAUCUCACUGCAGAUGUUGAAGGUGGGGAGCCCUCUCAUUAAGUACA